This 693-nucleotide ribosomal RNA is filed under the name Salmonella enterica subsp. enterica serovar Enteritidis. RNAcentral describes it as "partial 23S ribosomal RNA". It matches the Rfam family "Bacterial large subunit ribosomal RNA", at positions 550 to 1245 of the family's 2925-position model. Lineage: Bacteria; Pseudomonadati; Pseudomonadota; Gammaproteobacteria; Enterobacterales; Enterobacteriaceae. The record is from RNAcentral.
CUGAAACCGUGUACGUACAAGCAGUGGGAGCACCCUUUGGGUGUGACUGCGUACCUUUUGUAUAAUGGGUCAGCGACUUAUAUUCUGUAGCAAGGUUAACCGAAUAGGGGAGCCGGAGGGAAACCGAGUCUUAACCGGGCGUUAAGUUGCAGGGUAUAGACCCGAAACCCGGUGAUCUAGCCAUGGGCAGGUUGAAGGUUGGGUAACACUAACUGGAGGACCGAACCGACUAAUGUUGAAAAAUUAGCGGAUGACCUGUGGCUGGGGGUGAAAGGCCAAUCAAACCGGGAGAUAGCUGGUUCUCCCCGAAAGCUAUUUAGGUAGCGCCUCGUGAAUUCAUCUCCGGGGGUAGAGCACUGUUUCGGCUAGGGGGCCAUCCCGGCUUACCAACCCGAUGCAAACUGCGAAUACCGGAGAAUGUUAUCACGGGAGACACACGGCGGGUGCUAACGUCCGUCGUGAAGAGGGAAACAACCCAGACCGCCAGCUAAGGUCCCAAAGUCAUGGUUAAGUGGGAAACGAUGUGGGAAGGCCCAGACAGCCAGGAUGUUGGCUUAGAAGCAGCCAUCAUUUAAAGAAAGCGUAAUAGCUCACUGGUCGAGUCGGCCUGCGCGGAAGAUGUAACGGGGCUAAACCAUGCACCGAAGCUGCGGCAGCGACACUGUGUGUUGUUGGGUAGGGGAGCGUUCUGUA